Molecule: ribosomal RNA, 301 nt
Filed under: uncultured bacterium
Lineage: Bacteria
Description: partial 16S ribosomal RNA
Rfam family: Bacterial small subunit ribosomal RNA
Source: RNAcentral
CAGUCGCCGCGGUAAUACAGAGGGUGCGAGCGUUAAUCGGAUUUACUGGGCGUAAAGCGUGCGUAGGCGGCUCCUUAAGUCGGAUGUGAAAUCCCUGAGCUUAACUUAGGAAUUGCAUUCGAUACUGGGAAGCUAGAGUAUGGGAGAGGAUGGUAGAAUUCCAGGUGUAGCGGUGAAAUGCGUAGAGAUCUGGAGGAAUACCGAUGGCGAAGGCAGCCAUCUGGCCUAAUACUGACGCUGAGGUACGAAAGCAUGGGGAGCAAACAGGAUUAGAUACCCCAGUAGUCCCUGUCUCUUAUAC